CGUCUCGCGACCCCAGGCCAGCGGGAUGACCCGCUGAGUUUAAGCAUAUCAAUAAGCGGAGGAAAA
RNAcentral lists this ribosomal RNA (66 nucleotides) under Canella winterana (wild cinnamon). Its description in RNAcentral is "partial 26S rRNA". The record is from RNAcentral. Lineage: Eukaryota; Viridiplantae; Streptophyta; Magnoliopsida; Canellales; Canellaceae.